CCCCGCGCAGCCCUGGCUCCCGCCCGCGCUUCCCACUCCACACCUCCCCACGAGCACUCCGCCAGCCCCAGAGAGGGGCCCCCACAGCGCAGCGGCGGGCUGAAGGGCUCCUGGAGCGCGGCCAGAGCAGACGCGGAGGCCGAGGAGGUGCCGAGAGAGAGCGAGCGAGGGCUGCUAGCAAGUUGUCACCUCUCAACAACACUUUGGGAGGCCGAGAAUCUCUCUCUGCUGCCCAGGCUGGAGUGCAGUGGGAUGAUCUCGGCUCAUUGAAACCUCCACCUCCAGGUUCAAGCGAUACUCCUGCCUCAGGCUCCCGAGUAGCUGGGACUACAAGUGUGCACCACGAUGCCCAGAUGGAGUCUUGCUCUGUCGCCCAGGCUGGAAAGCAAUGGCGCUAUCUUGGCUCACUGCAACCUCCGUCUCCUGGGUUCAAUUGAUUCCUCUGCCUCAGCCUCCCAAAUAGCUGGAAUUACAGGUGCACAUCACUACACUGGCUAAUUUUUGUAUUUUUAGGAGACACAGGGUUUUACCAUCUUGGCCAGGCUGGUCUUGAACUCCUGACUGUAUGAUCCACCCACCUAGGCCUCCCCAAGUGCUGGGAUUACAGGCGUGAGCCACCAUGCCCAGCCUUAAAAGUCUUUCUAUGACAUCGCCCUUCAUCAUCACUAAUGUAAACUCUGCAUUUCUACAGAAUUAUAUGAUUUUGG
Molecule: long non-coding RNA, 707 nt
Filed under: Homo sapiens (human)
Lineage: Eukaryota; Metazoa; Chordata; Mammalia; Primates; Hominidae
Description: HSALNT0081203
Source: RNAcentral